GAUGAAGAACGCAGCGAAAUGCGAUAAGUAAUGUGAAUUGCAGAAUUCAGUGAAUCAUCGAAUCUUUGAACGCACAUUGCGCCCGCUAGUAUUCUGGCGGGCAUGCCUGUUCGAGCGUCAUUACAACCCUCAGGCCCCCGGGCCUGGCGUUGGGGAUCGGCGGAGCCCCCCGUGGGCACACGCCGUCCCCCAAAUGCAGUGGCGGUCCCGCCGCAGCUUCCAUCGCGUAGUAGCUAACACCUCGCGACUGGAGAGCGGCGCGGCCACGCCGUAAAACACCCAACUCUUCUGAAGUUGACCUCGAAUCAGGUAGGAAUACCCGCUGAACUUAAGCAUAUCAAUAAGCGGAGGA
RNAcentral lists this unclassified non-coding RNA (352 nucleotides) under soil metagenome. RNAcentral describes it as "partial contains 5.8S ribosomal RNA, internal transcribed spacer 2, and large subunit ribosomal RNA". The stretch from base 1 to 120 matches the Rfam family "5.8S ribosomal RNA", at positions 35 to 154 of the family's 154-position model. The record is from RNAcentral.